UACGGAGGGGGCUAGCGUUGUUCGGAAGUACUGGGCGUAAAGCGCACGUAGGCGGCUUUGUAAGUUAGAGGUGAAAGCCCGGGGCUCAACUCCGGAAUUGCCUUUAAGACUGCAUCGCUAGAAUUGUGGAGAGGUAAGUGGAAUUCCGAGUGUAGAGGUGAAAUUCGUAGAUAUUCGGAAGAACACCAGUGGCGAAGGCGACUUACUGGACACAUAUUGACGCUGAGGUGCGAAAGCGUGGGGAGCAAACAGG
RNAcentral lists this ribosomal RNA (253 nucleotides) under uncultured bacterium. RNAcentral's name for it is "partial 16S ribosomal RNA". It matches the Rfam family "Bacterial small subunit ribosomal RNA", at positions 524 to 776 of the family's 1533-position model. The record is from RNAcentral.